Long non-coding RNA from Nyctereutes procyonoides (raccoon dog), 803 nucleotides. RefSeq lists it as uncharacterized. The transcript is spliced from 3 exons. The record is from RefSeq and is a predicted model, not a curated record. Lineage: Eukaryota; Metazoa; Chordata; Mammalia; Carnivora; Canidae.
GAACGGAGAGAAUUGCUUGAAAGAGACAGGAGAUCUUGGCCAUUGCUAAGCCGCAGAGACCUGAGAAUAAAUGAAAUGGUCCUGGCGCACCUGAUCCGGCGUGUGCGGUCCAGUUCAGCCCCCGGCCACGUGGCAAGCACCCUCGGUGUGCUAGACCCGCAGCACACGGACCGCCCGAGGCUGUCCCAGGUUCCACAUUGGGUGUGGAGCCCAACAUAGGACUCAAAUUCAUGACCCUGAGAUCAAGACCUGAGCUGAGAUUAAGAGUUGGAAGCUCAACCGACCAAGCCACCCAGGUGCCUCUAGUGACUCCAUCCUGCAUUCCUGGCUUGAUACUGAUGGAAGUAAUUGCUGAACAAUCUUGGAAGAAAUGGCCAAAUCCAUGAUUGCUUGUGGAGUCUCAUAUAGAAAUAAUCCCAAGUCCUGGAACCUUCAGCAUGAAAAAUUUUUCUCAUAAGGAUUCUAAGAGUCUUGGUGGAAGACUAAGUCCUUUGACUUUGAAGUUCUUUUCCUGUGUGCCUCCAGUCAAGUCUGCUGACAUGUUCUUCAGGGGUUUUCCCUUGUGACCGGUUAGUGUGACUCAAAUUUGGUGAAUCCCCCUUUCUGGCUCCAUGGGUAUUUUUCUGGUAUCCUUAAAAACCUCCUUAAAAGCCUAUUCCUGGGCAAGAGAUAGUAGCAGUAAGUCAGGAGCUGCUACUAUGCCACUAUGUCUUCCUCAAAGAGCUAUUAGAGUUCAAAAAGUUCUUUCAGUUAUUAUAAAAUAAAAAUGCUAAGUGAUAUGAAAGCAUUGUGUCCUAGUUCUG